Molecule: long non-coding RNA, 243 nt
Filed under: Setaria viridis
Lineage: Eukaryota; Viridiplantae; Streptophyta; Magnoliopsida; Poales; Poaceae
Description: long non-coding RNA (SVIR_LNC002374)
Source: RNAcentral
AGAAGCCAACGGUAAAAAUGACUUUUCAUAUUAGUCUCACGCCAACAUAGAGCACCAAAUCAAUUCAAGGACGAGUUUGAUCGAAAAACAAAAGUUCAUGGACUAGAACGGCCGAUGUAAAAGCUGAGGAACCAACUUGACGCCCGGGGUAAAGUUGAGGGACCAAAUCACCCAUUUUACCUUAACAAUUGAGGUACGCGUAAUGUAAGGCACAUAACUUUGACUACAUUUUUUACUGUUUCC